GGAGUCCGUCCUUCUGCGUGUUUGCCUAUAACCAUUGAUGUGGGUACAAACAAUGAGAAAUUGCUCAAGGAUGAAUUCUACAUUGGACUCAGACAAAGAAGGGCAACUGGCCAGGAAUACGCUGAACUUCUACAUGAAUUCAUGACUGCUGUAAAGCAGAACUAUGGAGAAAAAGUCCUAAUACAGUUUGAAGAUUUUGCUAACCACAAUGCUUUUGAGC
Molecule: unclassified non-coding RNA, 220 nt
Filed under: Hevea brasiliensis (rubber tree)
Lineage: Eukaryota; Viridiplantae; Streptophyta; Magnoliopsida; Malpighiales; Euphorbiaceae
Source: RNAcentral